AGUUAACGUUAAAUUUUUGAAGUUAUUUUAGCUUUUUUGUUGGGUGAAAUCAGUAUAAAGAGUUUUUCUUUCUUUAAAAAUUAAUAGGAAUUAAAAAACUCUGAUUUAAAACCAGGAUUAGAUACCCUGUUAUUCUGAGUUAUAUUUAGACAGGGUAGUAAAAGUUGUUCUUCAAACCCAAAGAUUUUGGCGGCACUUUAUCCAAAUAGAGGAGCUUGCCCCUUAAUCGAUAGUCCCCGUUUUAUCUUUCCUCUGUUUGUAGAGCUUGUAUACCGCCGUUGUCAGAUUACUUCUAGAGAAUGUUUUCAAAUUAAAAGAUUUUUUUACUUCAGGUCAAGGUGCAGUUUAUAUAGAGGUGGAGGUGAGCUACAAUUUUCUUUACAAAUAUGGAUACUAAGCCUCGAAGCUGGUUGAAGGUGGAUUUAUUAGUAAAGUAAUUUAAGUAAA
Molecule: ribosomal RNA, 447 nt
Filed under: Daphnia longispina
Lineage: Eukaryota; Metazoa; Arthropoda; Branchiopoda; Diplostraca; Daphniidae
Description: partial 12S ribosomal RNA
Source: RNAcentral